GCCGGAAGCAACUCUUUUGAACUGCUUUUCUGCCGUAUCUCUUAUUCUAGACCCGAUUGCUUCAACCUGAGGACGAGAAAAGGCUGUGACAAUUAUAAAAAACCGAGUCCAAUAGACCAGAGGCUUCACAAAGAGAACUCGGAUAUCAGCAGCCUUCACCUCGUUUGCAACUUUGGCUAAUGCAACAGCAAAGGACAAGCACUCGGCGUCGUCAUCGGCCUCCUCAGUCGGCGCCUUCCUAUCUCCGCUCCCGUACACCACCUUGCCGUACUUGCUGAAGAAGGAAUCGUCGAACAUCUCGUCCGUAUCCCCGCCCCUCGCAUCCUGCUCCGGCCGUCGCUGGGAGUGAACUCGGCGAGGGGGGCGGCGGGUGGGGGAGGAGAUGAAGAUGGA
RNAcentral lists this unclassified non-coding RNA (393 nucleotides) under Hevea brasiliensis (rubber tree). The record is from RNAcentral. Lineage: Eukaryota; Viridiplantae; Streptophyta; Magnoliopsida; Malpighiales; Euphorbiaceae.